Molecule: non-coding RNA, 236 nt
Organism: Cinara cedri
Lineage: Eukaryota; Metazoa; Arthropoda; Insecta; Hemiptera; Aphididae
Source: the annotation of a GenBank genome assembly
CAUUGUUUAUAAUAGAUUUACAAGAAACAUAAUAUUUCAAUUUAAAUGUGCACUGCUUAAUCCUAUUUUUUUUGUUUUAUAACUGUACUUCUACACACUCGUUUCCCGUCGUCGUCCUCUUUGACAGCUGUUUGAUAUAAAAAUCCUUCUUCUCCAAAUGCCGGUUAAUUUCGGAGCUGGUUUAAAAUAUCCGGUCACUUUUAAUAUUAUAUUUACUUGUAGAUCAGAAAUUGUUG